RNAcentral lists this transfer RNA (73 nucleotides) under Nanobdellota archaeon. RNAcentral's name for it is "tRNA-Thr". It matches the Rfam family "tRNA". Rfam says of the family: Transfer RNA (tRNA) molecules are approximately 80 nucleotides in length. Their secondary structure includes four short double-helical elements and three loops (D, anti-codon, and T loops). Further hydrogen bonds mediate the characteristic L-shaped molecular structure. tRNAs have two regions of fundamental functional importance: the anti-codon, which is responsible for specific mRNA codon recognition, and the 3' end, to which the tRNAs corresponding amino acid is attached (by aminoacyl-tRNA synthetases). tRNAs cope with the degeneracy of the genetic code in two manners: having more than one tRNA (with a specific anti-codon) for a particular amino acid; and 'wobble' base-pairing, i.e. permitting non-standard base-pairing at the 3rd anti-codon position. The record is from RNAcentral. Lineage: Archaea; Nanobdellati; Nanobdellota.
GCCUCUAUAGCUCAGCGGUUAGAGCAUUGGUUUUGUAAACCAAGGGUCGGGGGUUCGAAUCCCUCUAGAGGCU